RNAcentral lists this transfer RNA (103 nucleotides) under Cercophora newfieldiana. It matches the Rfam family "tRNA". From Rfam's summary of the family: Transfer RNA (tRNA) molecules are approximately 80 nucleotides in length. Their secondary structure includes four short double-helical elements and three loops (D, anti-codon, and T loops). The record is from Rfam by way of RNAcentral. Lineage: Eukaryota; Fungi; Ascomycota; Sordariomycetes; Sordariales; Lasiosphaeriaceae.
GGGAUAUUGGCUCAGUUGGUAGAGCGUUGGUCUCAUAUCAAAUAUGAUCUGGUUAGACAUCAGAGUAAUCCAAAGGUCGUGAGUUCGAGCCUCACAUGUCCCA